Molecule: transfer RNA, 75 nt
Filed under: Acidobacteria bacterium 13_1_20CM_3_53_8
Lineage: Bacteria; Pseudomonadati; Acidobacteriota
Also listed under: 5 other names
Description: tRNA-Val
Rfam family: tRNA
About the family: Transfer RNA (tRNA) molecules are approximately 80 nucleotides in length. Their secondary structure includes four short double-helical elements and three loops (D, anti-codon, and T loops). Further hydrogen bonds mediate the characteristic L-shaped molecular structure. tRNAs have two regions of fundamental functional importance: the anti-codon, which is responsible for specific mRNA codon recognition, and the 3' end, to which the tRNAs corresponding amino acid is attached (by aminoacyl-tRNA synthetases). tRNAs cope with the degeneracy of the genetic code in two manners: having more than one tRNA (with a specific anti-codon) for a particular amino acid; and 'wobble' base-pairing, i.e. permitting non-standard base-pairing at the 3rd anti-codon position.
Source: RNAcentral
AGGCACGUACGUCAAUGGUAGACGGCUUCCCUUACAAGGAAGAGGUUGGGGGUUCGAGUCCCUCCGUGCCUACCA